Molecule: ribosomal RNA, 498 nt
Filed under: uncultured bacterium
Lineage: Bacteria
Description: partial 16S ribosomal RNA
Rfam family: Bacterial small subunit ribosomal RNA
Source: RNAcentral
GAUGAACGCUAGCGGCAGGCCUAAUACAUGCAAGUCGAACGAUAGAAGAGGGCUUGCUCUCUUCGAAAGUGGCGCACGGGUGCGUAACGCGUAUGCAACCUACCUUAAUCAGGGGGAUAGCCCGAAGAAAUUCGGAUUAACACCGCAUAAAAACACAGUACAGCAUUGUACAAUGAUCAAAUAUUUAUAGGAUUAAGAUGGGCAUGCGUGACAUUAGCUAGUUGGCGGGGUAACGGCCCACCAAGGCGACGAUGUCUAGGGGAUCUGAGAGGAUGCCCCCCCACACUGGUACUGAGACACGGACCAGACUCCUACGGGAGGCAGCAGUAAGGAAUAUUGGUCAAUGGAGGCAACUCUGAACCAGCCAUGCCGCGUGCAGGAAGACAGCCCUCUGGGUCGUAAACUGCCUUUAUUCGGGAAUAAACCUACUUACGUGUAAGUAGCUGAAUGUACCGAAGGAAUAAGGAUCGGCUAACUCCGUGCCAGCCGCCGCCGUAA